Sinocyclocheilus grahami is the source of this 1346-nucleotide long non-coding RNA. RefSeq lists it as uncharacterized. The transcript is spliced from 7 exons. NCBI's taxonomy places the organism in Eukaryota, Metazoa, Chordata, Actinopteri, Cypriniformes, Cyprinidae. The record is from RefSeq and is a predicted model, not a curated record.
CCGGAAGUCGCAUUCACCUGAGGAAAUCUUAAAAUCUGCGUUUGCGUCACUAAACCUACAUUCUUCUGCAAGGCAUCUGACCUUUGUAAGGUAUGAGGCUUUUAUUCCGGAUUUCCAUGCUGAACGAAGGCCAGGAGAAAUGGCUCGGUGCAGAAAUAAUACUUCAUCAGACUGACCUAGUUUGCAGGACCGCGGGUGCUUGCAAAGGAUAAUUAUCUUCUGUGAAUCGUUUCCAUCAAUGCAUCAGUCAAUCAAUCUUCACCAACACCACACGCCAUCAGCAACUCCAUUUUGUUGUUUCUUCUAAUGGAAGCGGCUCUCCAUGAGAGUUCUGAUGAGUUCGAGUGAUGAACGAGGACACAGUUUGGUGAGAGUCAUGGAGUACAGUAGUCAGUUCCUUCAUCACUUGGAUCUCAAGUCAAAGGAAAGUGGGCCAGUUUUGAGAGAGGUUUGCGGUCACUCGCAUAAUUUUUUUAGUGGAAAACUGCAUGCAAUUUGAGCGCGCACACACACAUGAACGGAGGAGUACAGAACAAACACAUCUCCUGGAUCCUGAGCACCAAAAACUACACUCAUCAUUUAUCAGCUAGCUAAAUGCUUGCCCAAACCAUUACCCUCCCCAAAGCAGCCAGCAGGACGGGAGAGGAGCGAGGCGCUGCGCUGGGUGAAUUAAACUUUUGAGGGUUCAGCUCUUUCCCACUUUGGCAAUUCAUCUUUCCUCUCACCCAGGAAGUGCACACCCAGCAGGAGAGUGAGGGUACCAGUCCCUGGGUCCCCGUCCCCCAUCCGUACACAACGUCCUUCGGCUCUCGCAGGCGCAUCAUGUGCCGCCGGAGCGGACAGAUGAAGAAGAGGAUAUUAAGUGACUCUAUCUAACAUCCAGGACACAAUGGCGGUGAUUGAUGGAGGACAAAGUGGGAACAGCAGGACAGAGGAUGGGAGGGGGGCGUCCGUUGGGGGUCUCUGUCGAGAGCUGGUGCGCCGUCCCCGUCCGCCGUGUUUACUCACUGAUGCUCUCGACAAGACAGCCAUUGACACUGGGAUGGAUGAGUCCCGAUCCACCGCGCGGAGCCAGAGGUUAGCAGGGCUGAAAUAUAGAGCUCCUCCACGACACGCUCCCUUCACCUAAUCUUCCGGCAAAAUAUUUAUCAUUAUCAAUUGGGGCCUGCUCUCUGACAUUAGAAUAGCACGUAUGGAUAAACCCUCGGGAGGAUUAUCGAUCCGCCCGGCAGCAGCUUACACAAGACUCGGGGUCAUGCGGGACAAUAAGAAUAAAAGCAUGGUAUAUCCAGCCCUCCGCUCAGGUUUAUUAAGUAAAACAAUGAACCAAAUCACACCGGCAUGAC